AACAUAAGCAGCUCAAAUUACACAAUACUUUACGAUAAGGUAAGCAAUAGCUGCAGCAAUAGUACUUGGUCUCAUUGGCCUUUGAGGAUUGACAAAAAGCGGUCUCUUCCUGGUUGAAGAGUCCUUUUUUGCAAUCUCAUCUUGACUCUUCCGAAUUCCACUUUCACUCAUUUGCUGCUAAAGCUACUUAUUAUUAUGAUGCAAAUGCA
RNAcentral lists this unclassified non-coding RNA (209 nucleotides) under Hevea brasiliensis (rubber tree). The record is from RNAcentral. Lineage: Eukaryota; Viridiplantae; Streptophyta; Magnoliopsida; Malpighiales; Euphorbiaceae.